AUGCACUUAUUUGCCACCGUGCACACUCACACGAAGGGCACACACACAAUACCUAGAUACACCAACCUUGAUACGAAAAGAAACCUAAAAAUGAAGAAAAGGAAAAAGAGGAGUCGACCUGCAGAUCCCUGGAGCAAGACACGAAUACCAGCACGGACCCAGCGACGAACAAGUGGGGAGGUCAAGCAGGAGCAGCUACAUAGGAAGGACCAGUCCACAGAAAUGUCACAACCAGACCUCGGCUCAAGCAGACAACGGAAAUCGGGUCAAAAGGAAGAUCGCCCAGGGAUCAACGAGUGGCGCAACGGAUCUGGCCCAACGACGAGAAGAGCAAUGGAUCUGCAAGCAAUAGGCAGCCAAGAUCCAAAACUGGUCAGCCAUGACAAAUCGAACGCCGAAAAAGGGGAAUGA
Molecule: ribosomal RNA, 411 nt
Filed under: Triticum aestivum (bread wheat)
Lineage: Eukaryota; Viridiplantae; Streptophyta; Magnoliopsida; Poales; Poaceae
Description: partial small subunit ribosomal RNA
Source: RNAcentral